This 974-nucleotide ribosomal RNA is filed under the name Bacillus sp. (in: firmicutes). Its description in RNAcentral is "bacterial SSU rRNA". It matches the Rfam family "Bacterial small subunit ribosomal RNA", at positions 49 to 1006 of the family's 1533-position model. Lineage: Bacteria; Bacillati; Bacillota; Bacilli; Caryophanales; Bacillaceae. The record is from RNAcentral.
UAGUAAUGCAAGUCGAGCGAACAGAAGGGAGCUUGCUCCCGGAUGUUAGCGGCGGACGGGUGAGUAACACGUGGGUAACCUGCCUGUAAGACUGGGAUAACUCCGGGAAACCGGAGCUAAUACCGGAUAGUUCCUUGAACCGCAUGGUUCAAGGAUGAAAGACGGUUUCGGCUGUCACUUACAGAUGGACCCGCGGCGCAUUAGCUAGUUGGUGGGGUAAUGGCUCACCAAGGCGACGAUGCGUAGCCGACCUGAGAGGGUGAUCGGCCACACUGGGACUGAGACACGGCCCAGACUCCUACGGGAGGCAGCAGUAGGGAAUCUUCCGCAAUGGACGAAAGUCUGACGGAGCAACGCCGCGUGAGUGAUGAAGGUUUUCGGAUCGUAAAGCUCUGUUGUUAGGGAAGAACAAGUGCGAGAGUAACUGCUCGCACCUUGACGGUACCUAACCAGAAAGCCACGGCUAACUACGUGCCAGCAGCCGCGGUAAUACGUAGGUGGCAAGCGUUGUCCGGAAUUAUUGGGCGUAAAGGGCUCGCAGGCGGUUUCUUAAGUCUGAUGUGAAAGCCCCCGGCUCAACCGGGGAGGGUCAUUGGAAACUGGGAAACUUGAGUGCAGAAGAGGAGAGUGGAAUUCCACGUGUAGCGGUGAAAUGCGUAGAGAUGUGGAGGAACACCAGUGGCGAAGGCGACUCUCUGGUCUGUAACUGACGCUGAGGAGCGAAAGCGUGGGGAGCGAACAGGAUUAGAUACCCUGGUAGUCCACGCCGUAAACGAUGAGUGCUAGUGGUUAGGGGGUUUCCGCCCCUUAGUGCUGCAGCUAACGCAUUAAGCACUCCGCCUGGGGGAGUACGGUCGCAAGACUGAAACUCAAAGGAAUUGACGGGGGCCCGCACAGCGGUGGAAGCAUGUGGUUUAAUUCGAAGCACGCGAAGAACCUUACCAGGUCUUGACAUCUCUGACACCCUAGAGAUA